GAUGAAGAACGUAGCGAAAUGCGAUAAGUAAUGUGAAUUGCAGAAUCCAGUGAAUCAUCGAAUCUUUGAACGCACAUUGCGCCCGCCAGCAUUCUGGCGGGCAUGCCUGUUCGAGCGUCAUUUCAACCCUCGACCUCCCCUUGGGGAGGUCGGCGUUGGGGACCGGCAGCACACCGCCGGCCCUGAAAUGGAGUGGCGGCCGUCUGCGGCGACCUCUGCGUAGUAAUACAGCUCGCACCGGAACCCCGACGCGGCCACGCCGUAAAACACCCAACUUCUGAACGUUGACCUCGAAUCAGGUAGGACUACCCGCUGAACUUAAGCAUAUCAAUAAGCGGAGGA
Molecule: unclassified non-coding RNA, 342 nt
Filed under: soil metagenome
Description: partial contains 5.8S ribosomal RNA, internal transcribed spacer 2, and large subunit ribosomal RNA
Rfam family: 5.8S ribosomal RNA (bases 1-120)
Source: RNAcentral